RNAcentral lists this ribosomal RNA (503 nucleotides) under uncultured bacterium. RNAcentral's name for it is "bacterial SSU rRNA". It matches the Rfam family "Bacterial small subunit ribosomal RNA", at positions 30 to 507 of the family's 1533-position model. The record is from RNAcentral.
CGAACGCUGGCGGCGUGCCUAACACAUGCAAGUCGAACGGGACUUAGUGGAAAGCGGCUUCGGCCAAUGGAAGCUAAGUUUAGUGGCGAACGGGUGAGUAACGCGUGAGGAACCUGCCUUAAAGAGGGGGACAACAGUUGGAAACGACUGCUAAUACCGCAUAAGCCCACACUACCGCAUGGUAGAGUGAGAAAAGAUUUUAUCGCUUUAAGAUGAGCUCGCGUCUGAUUAGCUAGUUGGUGGGGUAACGGCUCACCAAGGCGACGAUCAGUAGCCGGUCUGAGAGGAUGAACGGCCACAUUGGGACUGAGACACGGCCCAGACUCCUACGGGAGGCAGCAGUGGGGAAUCUUCCGCAAUGGACGAAAGUCUGACGGAGCAAUGCCGCGUGAGUGAUGAAGGUUUUCGGACCGUAAAGCUCUUUUGUUUAUGACGAAUGUGCAUGAUGUGAACAAUGUUGUGUAAUGACGGUAGUAAACGAAUAAGCCACGGCUAACUACGUG